UUCCGCCUCUAGAUUUGGGUUCAAAUUGAGUUCCACCGUACGCUAAACACAGGAAAUCAUAGCACUUGUUUUGGUUUCUAACAACUCUACUAACUCAUCGUUCUCUGAAGUCUGAACCCUAACGACGCUGGCGGCCGGAUCUACCACAUUUACUAAGAAAAGAUGAGUCGCUCAAGCAGAACGCUCUAUGUUGGGAAUCUUCCUGGGGAUAUUCGCGAACGGGAAGUGGAAGAUUUGUUUUACAAGUAUGGUCGAAUAGCCCGCAUUGAUUUGAAAGUCCCACCAAGGCCUCCGGGUUAUGCUUUUGUUGAGUUUGAAGAGUCCCGAGAUGCUGAAGAUGCAAUCAGGGGUCGUGAUGGGUAUGAUUUUGAUGGUCACAGAUUAAGGGUGGAACUUGCCCAUGGUGGACGUGGAAACUCAUCUUCUACAGAUCGUCAUAAUAGCCAUAGCAGUGGUCGGGGAGGCCAUGGCGGAGUUUCUAGACGAUCCGAUUAUAGAGUUUUGGUGACUGGGUUACCCUCUUCGGCGUCAUGGCAAGACCUUAAGGAUCACAUGCGUCGAGCUGGGGAUGUUUGUUUCUCCCAAGUUUUCAAGGAGGGUGGUGGUACCACAGGGAUUGUGGACUACACAAACUACGAUGACAUGAAAUAUGCUAUACGCAAAUUGGACGACUCAGAGUUUCGAAAUGCUUUCUCACGUGGAGUGAUACGUGUGAAGGAGUAUGAUUCCAGUCGGUCUAGGAGCCGUAGUCGCAGCCGUAGCAAGAGCUAUAGCCGUAGCCGCAGCAGGAGCAGAAGCAAGUCCCCAAAAGCAAAACCAUCUCGGCGCUCGAAAUCCCGUUCGAGGUCUCGGUCUCGUUCUCGUUCUGGAUCAGAACCCGCGCGCCCAUCAGCAAGAUAUGGAUAUGGAUAUGGAUAUGGAUAUAUACAGCUUGUCAGGGGAUUGCAUGUUAGGAUUGAUGGAUAUGGAUUGCAAUGAAAAGGCUGGAUUUUGAAUAGGGGAGUGGGGGCUAUUGCAUUGCAGUCAUGAUUUGUUUAAACAUAUUGGCAUGAUUCAUGAAUGAGAAGGCUACUGUUGGAUAAGAGGAACAUACAUUUGGAUGGAUGGAUAUUAUUAAACUCAGCUUGUUUCUGGAACUUUUGCAGAUCUCCUUCAAGAUCCAGAUCCCCCCCACCCUCUCGCCCAAAGCCUGCUGCUGCUACCAGUAAAAGUCCAAAAGGCAAGAGCAAGAGUAAGAGUCCAAGCAGAAGCAGAAGCAGGAGCAGGAGCAAGAGUUUAUCAAGGUAUG
RNA transcript from Lactuca sativa (garden lettuce), 1288 nucleotides. It is a transcript of the gene named serine/arginine-rich splicing factor SR30, with no coding region annotated. Lineage: Eukaryota; Viridiplantae; Streptophyta; Magnoliopsida; Asterales; Asteraceae. The record is from RefSeq and is a predicted model, not a curated record.